Molecule: long non-coding RNA, 613 nt
Organism: Suricata suricatta (meerkat)
Lineage: Eukaryota; Metazoa; Chordata; Mammalia; Carnivora; Herpestidae
Exons: 4
Source: RefSeq, a predicted model, not a curated record
UAUUGAGAGCCUACUUUCCAUUGGAUAGUCGUGGGCAAAAACGGUGUAGGAGGAGAAAAGGCCCCAUACCUCCAUACCCUCUAUCCACCUCUAUCUACCCAACAAGUGGGCUGGGAGAGUAAUAGUGUCUACACUGCAGAAGUGAAGAAACUGAAAUUUAGGCUAAGCCCCAAUUGCCUGAUGCCAUACAGCUACAUGUAGUGGUGAAUGUGAGAUUAAGACAUGGAUUUGUCUGGCUCUGAAAUCCCUGUGCCUUGCACAACAAUAAAAGUCAGAAGAGAAAGAGCUGCCUUGAAGGUGCUCAGCCCAUUUCUGGUCCCACCUACCUCCUACAAUGGCUGUUUGAUUAGUUGGAAAACCUAUGUCUGAAUUAUGGAAGAUUGAAAAUGCACCCCCAACUCAAUUCUUCGAUUCUUUCCUUUGGUGGAGAGAUGGUGAAGUCAAGGGAAAAAACUCUCCUCAAACCAAAAAACAAAGUUCAUGGACUAUUCCUCUACAUUCUUUCCCUGAAGCCAUUGAAUAUUAACUGAAAUAAAUCUAUUUGUAUCUUAAAACCGUAUUCAUCCAUAAAAAAACCUGUUUUUCUUAUUUCUCUCAUUUUUUAAAAAUUUUA